RNAcentral lists this ribosomal RNA (253 nucleotides) under uncultured bacterium. RNAcentral describes it as "partial 16S ribosomal RNA". It matches the Rfam family "Bacterial small subunit ribosomal RNA", at positions 524 to 776 of the family's 1533-position model. The record is from RNAcentral.
GACAGGGGGUGCAAGCGUUGCUCGGAAUCACUGGGCGUAAAGCGCGCGUAGGCGGUCUCGUAAGUCGGGUGUGAAAGCCCUCAGCCUAACUGAGGAACUGCGCCCGAUACUGCGAGGCUAGAGGAUGGGAGGGGAGAGUGGAAUUCCUGGUGGAGCGGUGAAAUGCGUAGAUAUCAGGAGGAACACCAGUGGCGAAGGCGACUCUCUGGUCCAUUCCUGACGCUGAGGUGCGAAAGCUAGGGGAGCAAACGGG